UAUCACUUGAAUAAAAAAAUGAGUUAACACAGCGAGCUUGCUUGACUGCGUGUCACGUUUGUUCUUAGGCAUAAUAAUCUAUCGUGUUUGAUUUUAUUUUGCCAAUACACAGGAACUCUUGCAUUGGAAUGAGUCGUUUGUAAAUAAAAUAGUGACUUUUAUAUGAGUAGUGCUAUAUAAACAGUACCAAUGAUUAAAGAUUAGAAUAACAUAACUUCUUUUACUACCAUUUAUACCUACUGUGCGACCGUGAAGGUUGAGAAUGUUACGUCAUUUUGCUUUUAGUGUGUGAUAUAAACUUACUUAUUUUGUUUCUGUACUGAGACGUGUUUUUAACUCAAAGAGUGUUUGAAGUUGUGAGUAGUAAUAACAAGUGUAAAACGUCUGAAAUGAGUGGUUACUUACAUACACCGGCUGCGACAAAAUGCCGCCAUGUUAUUUAGGAUUCGCAGUUUCGCUGUCAACUACGGAUCGUGGUUAGCCCUGAUACAGUCGGAGGAUAUUUAUUAUUGAAAACCUGUGGUUAAUUUGGUUUUGCACUUUUAUAAUAACGUAACAUCGCCACGGAGCGCCAGAACUCAGCGCUAACGGGCGCCAAUCGCUUCAAUGAAACAUAUAUGCCAGUACUGGCUAUUGAAGAUGCAAG
Long non-coding RNA from Trichoplusia ni (cabbage looper), 646 nucleotides. RefSeq lists it as uncharacterized. The transcript is spliced from 2 exons. The record is from RefSeq and is a predicted model, not a curated record. NCBI's taxonomy places the organism in Eukaryota, Metazoa, Arthropoda, Insecta, Lepidoptera, Noctuidae.